Molecule: ribosomal RNA, 467 nt
Filed under: uncultured bacterium
Lineage: Bacteria
Description: partial 16S ribosomal RNA
Rfam family: Bacterial small subunit ribosomal RNA
Source: RNAcentral
GACGAACGCUGGCGGCGUGCUUAACACAUGCAAGUCGAACGGAAAGGCCCUGCUUUUGUGGGGUGCUCGAGUGGCGAACGGGUGAGUAACACGUGAGUAACCUGCCCUUGACUUUGGGAUAACUUCAGGAAACUGGGGCUAAUACCGGAUAGGAGCUCCUGCUGCAUGGUGGGGGUUGGAAAGUUUCGGCGGUUGGGGAUGGACUCGCGGCUUAUCAGCUUGUUGGUGGGGUAGUGGCUUACCAAGGCUUUGACGGGUAGCCGGCCUGAGAGGGUGACCGGCCACAUUGGGACUGAGAUACGGCCCAGACUCCGACGGGAGGCAGCAGUGGGGAAUAUUGCACAAUGGGCGGAAGCCUGAGGCAGCAACGCCGCGUGCGGGAGGACGGCCUUCGGGUUGUAAACCGCUUUCGCCUGUGACGAAGCGUGAGUGACGGGAAUGGGUAAAGAAGCACCGGCUAACUACGU